Molecule: transfer RNA, 96 nt
Filed under: Deltaproteobacteria bacterium
Lineage: Bacteria; Pseudomonadati; Myxococcota; Myxococcia
Description: tRNA-Sec
Rfam family: Selenocysteine transfer RNA
Source: RNAcentral
GGAAGUGCCAAGGCGCCUGGUGGGCCUCCUGGUCUUCAAAACCAGUGCACCGCUGACGAGGUGGUGGGUGGGUUCGAUUCCCAUGCACUUCCGCCA